ACACGGACCAGACUCCUACGGGAGGCAGCAGUAAGGAAUAUUGGGCAAUGGACGCAAGUCUGACCCAGCCAUGCCGCGUGCAGGAAGACGGCCCUAUGGGUUGUAAACUGCUUUUAUCAGGGAAUAAACCCCCGGAUGUAUCCGGGGCUGAAUGUACCUGAAGAAUAAGCAUCGGCUAACUCCGUGCCAGCAGCCGCGGUAAUACGGAGGAUGCAAGCGUUAUCCGGAUUCAUUGGGUUUAAAGGGUGCGCAGGCGGAUUAUUAAGUCAGUGGUGAAAUCCUACAGCUCAACUGUAGAACUGCCAUUGAUACUGAUAAUCUUGAGUAUAUUUGAAGUGGGCGGAAUGUAGCAUGUAGCGGUGAAAUGCAUAGAUAUGCUACAGAACACCAAUUGCGAAGGCAGCUCACUAAACUAUAACUGACGCUCAUGCACGAAAGCGUGGGGAUCAAACAGGAUUAGAUACCCUGGUAGUCCACGCUGUAAACGAUGAUUACUCGUUGUUGGCGAUACACAGUCAGCGACCAAGCGAAAGUGAUAAGUAAUCCACCUGGGGAGUACGAUCGCAAGGUUGAAACUCAAAGGAAUUGACGGGGGCCCGCACAAGCGGUGGAGCAUGUGGUUUAAUUCGAUGAUACGCGAGGAACCUUACCUGGGCUCAAAUGUAUGUUGACGUAUUCUGAAAGGGAUACUUCUUCGGACAAUAUACAAGGUGCUGCAUGGUUGUCGUCAGCUCGUGCCGUGAGGUGUCGGGUUAAGUCCCAUAACGAGCGCAACCCCUAUCAUUAGUUGCCAUCAGGUCAAGCUGGGGACUCUAAUGAAACUGCCUACGCAAGUAGUGAGGAAGGUGGGGAUGACGUCAAAUCAGCACGGCCCUUACGUCCAGGGCUACACACGUGCUACAAUGGCCGGUACAAAGGGCAGCUACCUGGUGACAGGAUGCUAAUCUCGAAAGCCGGU
RNAcentral lists this ribosomal RNA (958 nucleotides) under uncultured bacterium. RNAcentral describes it as "bacterial SSU rRNA". It matches the Rfam family "Bacterial small subunit ribosomal RNA", at positions 324 to 1286 of the family's 1533-position model. The record is from RNAcentral.